This 1646-nucleotide long non-coding RNA is filed under the name Sinocyclocheilus grahami. RNAcentral describes it as "lncRNA (ENSSGRG00000014415.1)". The record is from RNAcentral. Lineage: Eukaryota; Metazoa; Chordata; Actinopteri; Cypriniformes; Cyprinidae.
GGUUGUUUUUACAUAGCUGAGUUGAACAGAGGAGUGCUCAUUGUUAUAGGAAACUUUAACCACUGGCAUGACAUGACAGGUUCAUUCUGUCUCUCACUGACUUUCUCUCACUCUCUCUCUCUCUCUGGCUGUGCCAUGAGUCUUAGAGCGCUCCUAAAUAGCAACAAGUAAGCGUGCGGCCAGAACAGGCUGGAGAAACUCUCAACAGGACAUGAGGAUUGAGAGAGAGAGAGGGUUAGAGAGGGAGUGAAAGAGGAUUGAAGCCGUCCCCUCCUCAACACACUCACAAUGUUGAGUGUUAUAUACUUCCUACGAAGCUUCUUUAAGGCCCCAGCUUUAGAGGACUCUGGGAGUGAGGCAGCUUGUCUGGAUGAUGGGGAGUCUCAGCAGGAGGAGCAAGGAGAGCAACAGGACCAUCAGGAAUGGUGUGAGCCGGUUCCUGAAGCAGCACAGGACACAAAAGAGGAAUAUUUUGACACACACUCAUGGCCCAGUGACACUUUCUCUGAAUCGAGUCAUGAAACUAAGGACUGCUGCAGGACACCGCUCAGCUAUGAGGUUGGAUCUUGCUCUAUGGGUCAUCUGGACACACACUCUCCAUUUGUCAAACCGUCACCUUUGGUUAGAGGGAGAAAUCCCUCUUCAACAAAACAGCAUCAUUCUGUCAAUCAUGCUGACAGUCUCUGUAGAACAGUGGAUAGAGAGCAAUUGCAAAUACAGACUGGAAAUAUGGGGGUGAUGCACAUGGGAGUUGAUGGCACUGGAAUGUCUCAAGCUAAGGGUGCUCUGGAAUGUGAGGAGGUUUUCAACAAUUCUCCAGCGGAACCUGAAGUUGAUUCUUCUUCAAGGAAUGGCCAAUCCUAUGUAGUAGCACCUCUACUGGCAUUAGAGAACUCUGUGGAACCGCAAACACUCACUGAGCCAUGUGCUAAUGACUCAUUAUUGACCUUAACAGACAGUGAUGGAGCCAAGUUUCAGUUUGCUGACACCUUUGAGGGAAAAUCAAAAUGGGAUCAAAUUAACAAAAAUAUCACGAACACUCAGUCAGGACACAAUGAGCCGCAAAUACAGUUCAUAACCUCAAGUGAGAAACAGUUACAGCAAAAUGAUAUUGACAGUAGUAACACUGAAAUACAGUUGAUUUCUAAUGCAUCUGUUGCGAAUAGUAAAGAUGCUGAAUGUCAUGAGUUGGGUGUUGAUGAAAAUAAGAUCAGUUUAUCUGUAUCACGUCAUCUUUUUGUAUAUGAGUCUGUAUCAGUUGAGAAGCCUAUUGAACAGAAGGUCGAGGAGUCAACAAAACACAGCCAUUCACAGCCCUCAGUAGAGCACAGCCAAUCACAGUCUUCAGUAGAGCACAGCAAAUCACAGGCCUCAGCAGAACAUAACCAAUCACAGGAUUCUGUAGAAUGCAGCCAAUCACAUAACUCAGCAGAACACAGCAAAUUACAAGACUCAGCAGAACACAGCCAAUCACAGGCCUUAACAGAAGACAGGCCAUCACAAGAUUUUGUUGAACACAGCCGAUCACAGGACUCAGUAGAACACAGCCGAUCACAGGACUCAGUAGAACACAGCCAAUCACCGGAUUCUGUAGAACACAGUCAGUCACAGGAUUCUGUAGAAUGCAGCCAAUCACAGAAUUCAGU